Molecule: ribosomal RNA, 253 nt
Filed under: uncultured bacterium
Lineage: Bacteria
Description: partial 16S ribosomal RNA
Rfam family: Bacterial small subunit ribosomal RNA
Source: RNAcentral
AACGUAGGAGCCAAGCGUUAUCCGAAUUUACUGGGCGUAAAGCGCGUGCAGGCGGCAUGGUAAGUUGGAUGUGAAAGCUUCCGGCUCAACUGGGAGAGGACGUUCAAAACUGCCAAGCUAGAGGGCGACAGAGGGAGGUGGAAUUCCCGGUGUAGUGGUGAAAUGCGUAGAUAUCGGGAGGAACACCAGUGGCGAAGGCGGCCUCCUGGGUCGCACCUGACGCUCAGACGCGAAAGCUAGGGUAGCGAACGGG